This 253-nucleotide ribosomal RNA is filed under the name uncultured bacterium. RNAcentral describes it as "partial 16S ribosomal RNA". It matches the Rfam family "Bacterial small subunit ribosomal RNA", at positions 524 to 776 of the family's 1533-position model. The record is from RNAcentral.
UACGUAGGGUGCGAGCGUUGUCCGGAAUUAUUGGGCGUAAAGAGCUUGUAGGCGGUCUGUCGCGUCGGCCGUGAAAACCUGCAGCUUAACUGUGGGCCUGCGGCCGAUACGGGCAGACUUGAGUUCGGUAGGGGAGACUGGAAUUCCUGGUGUAGCGGUGAAAUGCGCAGAUAUCAGGAGGAACACCGGUGGCGAAGGCGGGUCUCUGGGCCGAUACUGACGCUGAGGAGCGAAAGCGUGGGGAGCGAACAGG